Nicotiana attenuata is the source of this 1015-nucleotide RNA transcript. It is a transcript of the gene named protein transport protein SEC13 homolog B-like, with no coding region annotated. The record is from RefSeq and is a predicted model, not a curated record. The transcript has a single exon. Lineage: Eukaryota; Viridiplantae; Streptophyta; Magnoliopsida; Solanales; Solanaceae.
UAUUCUUUGCCUUAGAUUAUUUUGUAAGAAGGUUUUUAUCAAGUGACGAAGUUAGAUUGCAAGAUGAAAUCAAAUAUAUCUAUUUCUUGGAGCAUCAUAAUGCCAUCACAGAAGAUUGAAAGUGGGCAUACUGUCACGGUGCAUGAUGUAGCAAUGGAUUACUAUGGUAAGCGUCUGGCAACAGCUUCUUCAGACUGCACCAUUAAGAUAACAGGGGUUAGCAGCUCGUCCUCGCAGCAACUGGCUACUUUAAGUGGUCACCAAGGACCAGUGUGGCAAGUAGCUUGGGCUCACCCUAAGUUUGGGUCAAUCCUCGCUUCCUGUUCUUCUGAUGGGAAGGUAAUUAUUUGGAAGGAAGGCGCUCAAAAUGAGUGGAGCUUAGCACAUGUUUUUGAUGACCAUAAAGCUUCAGUCAAUUCCAUAGCUUGGGCUCCUCAUGAGUUGGGACUUUGUUUGGCUUGUGGAUCUUCUGAUGGGAACAUUUCGGUUUUCACUGCAAGAUCAGACGGUGGUUGGGAGACAUCACGGAUCGAUCAGGCUCAUCCAGUUGGUGUUACAUCUGUUUCCUGGGCGCCAUCGAUGGCUCCUGGCUCUCUUGUAGGCUCCGAUAUUCUUAAUCCUGUUCAGAAGCUUGCUUCUGGUGGCUGUGACAAUACAGUUAAAGUGUGGAAGCUGUUUAAUGGAACGUGGAAAAUGGAUUGCUUCCCGGCUCUUCAAAUGCACACUGAUUGGGUCAGGGACGUCGCUUGGGCCCCUAACUUGGGGCUACCAAAAACAACUAUCGCGAGUGCUUCUGAAGAUGGAAAGUAAUUAUAUGGACCGUGGCUAAGGAAGGCGAUCAAUGGAAGGGUAAAGUUUUGAAGGAUUUUGGUUCCCCCGUUUGGAGAGUAUCGUGGUCACUAACGGGAAACAUAUUGGCUGUGGCAGAUGGGAAUAACAAUGUGACAUUAUGGAACGAAGCAGUAGAUGGCGAAUGGCAACCACUGACAACAGUAGAUUCAUAAAGUUAAACACA